GGUCGUAUUGCUCAGUGGUUGAGCACCCGCACACGUAUCGGAAGGUCGGGGGUUCGACUCCCUCUGCCUCCA
Non-coding RNA from Pristionchus pacificus, 72 nucleotides. The record is from Rfam. NCBI's taxonomy places the organism in Eukaryota, Metazoa, Nematoda, Chromadorea, Rhabditida, Neodiplogasteridae.